Molecule: long non-coding RNA, 899 nt
Organism: Herpailurus yagouaroundi (jaguarundi)
Lineage: Eukaryota; Metazoa; Chordata; Mammalia; Carnivora; Felidae
Exons: 2
Source: RefSeq, a predicted model, not a curated record
CAGAAUCACUGCUAUCUAUUGGCUCAAUGGGAUCUUCUUCUGCCUGGAGGCCAUUGUAUAUGCUCGCAAGGAUGUGACUAUAGUACAGUAUUAAUAAACUUGUUGCAUACUGUAUUUAACGUAACUGGCAAUCGGGCAGCAGAGGAAAGGGUCUAUAUCUGCAGGCAGCCUGACUUAGAAUGAAGCAAAGCAUUUCUAAGCUUACUCUUGUACAGAAAAGCAAAGGACUGUCCAUAGGUGCUUGGAAGUGACAAAACAUACACUAGUGACAGUUGUGGGCACCUUCCAACAUUCUGAAAAUCACUGAUUUCUGCCAAAUAGCGCCCCUGAGACCCAGCAUCCAAGCAUGGGAGAUGAUCACCCACAAUCCCAUAAAGAGAGAGAGAGAGAGAGAACCAUUGGCUCAGUUGUGAUUAUGUGACAUUCAGUGUCACGUACUCCUCGUAUUGCAAGAAAUCACUCAUUUAUCAAGUUAAAAUUUAUUAGAAAUGUUUGCUCAUCUUGCAGAACACUCACAGAACAAGUUACUCGCAAUCCAAGGUUUCACUGUACUUAAGAGACAAUCUGUUUUCAAGCACUUUGGAAGAAUCAUUAUAACGAUCAACAAUAAAUAUACUAAUUCAAAUUAUUUUUACCUAGUCAUUAGCAACUUGGCAAAUAAUUAAGUCAACCUGAAUAAAAUAAGAAAUAUUUUUAUUUCCAUUACUGGUAUUUUAUUCCAUUUCUGGUAUUUUAAUCUAUUUCAGAUUGAGCUUCCUCUCAACUGCUCUAGAAUAGUAUACAGGUUCUGAGGAUGCAGCAAGAACUUUAAAUUUUACAAGUUUAUGCAUAUGACAUGAAAAACAUGUGGGAUGAUAUAACUGGUUUAUCCUAAAAUGAACUUAAACUAAUUUCACUAU